RNAcentral lists this ribosomal RNA (499 nucleotides) under uncultured bacterium. Its description in RNAcentral is "bacterial SSU rRNA". It matches the Rfam family "Bacterial small subunit ribosomal RNA", at positions 899 to 1397 of the family's 1533-position model. The record is from RNAcentral.
ACUCAAAGGAAUUGACGGGGGCCCGCACAAGCGGUGGAGCAUGUGGUUUAAUUCGACGAUACGCGAAAAACCUUACCAAGGUUUGACAUGGAGACGACCGGUUCAGAGAUGAACCCUCCCUUCGGGGCGUCUCACACAGGUGGUGCAUGGUUGUCGUCAGCUCGUGUCGUGAGAUGUUGGGUUAAGUCCCGCAACGAGCGCAACCCUUAUGUUCAGUAGCCAUCACGUAAAGGUGGGCACACUGGAGAGACUGCCGUGGAUAACACGGAGGAAGGUGGGGACGACGUCAAAUCAUCAUGCCCCUUAUAUCUUGGGCUACACACGUGCUACAAUGGUCUGUACAGCGUGAAGCGAGACAGCGAUGUUAAGCAAAACACUUAAAACAGACCCCAGUUCGGAUUGCAGGCUGCAACCCGCCUGCAUGAAGUCGGAAUCGCUAGUAAUCGCGAAUCAGCAUGUCGCGGUGAAUACGUUCCCGGGCCUUGUACACACCGCCCGU